AUUGAACGCUGGCGGCAUGCCUUACACAUGCGAGUCGAACGGCAGCGGGGGAGAAGCUUGCUUUUCCUGCCGGCGAGUGGCGAACGGGUGAGUAAUACAUCGGAACGUGCCCUGUAGUGGGGGAUAACUAGUCGAAAGAUUAGCUAAUACCGCAUACGACCUGAGGGUGAAAGUGGGGGACCGCAAGGCCUCAUGCUAUAGGAGCGGCCGAUGUCUGAUUAGCUAGUUGGUGGGGUAAAGGCCUACCAAGGCGACGAUCAGUAGCUGGUCUGAGAGGACGAUCAGCCACACGGGGAGUGAGACACGGCCCAGACUCCUCCGGGAGGCAGCAGUGGGGAAUUUUGGACAAUGGGCGAAAGCCUGAUCCAGCAAUGCCGCGUGUGUGAAGAAGGCCUUCGGGUUGUAAAGCACUUUUGUCCGGAAAGAAAUGGCUCUGGUUAAUACCUGGGGUCGAUGACGGUACCGGAAGAAUAAGGACCGGCUAACUACGUGCCAGCCGCCGCAGUAA
This 508-nucleotide ribosomal RNA is filed under the name uncultured bacterium. Its description in RNAcentral is "partial 16S ribosomal RNA". It matches the Rfam family "Bacterial small subunit ribosomal RNA", at positions 30 to 523 of the family's 1533-position model. The record is from RNAcentral.